Molecule: non-coding RNA, 72 nt
Organism: Acanthaster planci (crown-of-thorns starfish)
Lineage: Eukaryota; Metazoa; Echinodermata; Asteroidea; Valvatida; Acanthasteridae
Source: the annotation of a RefSeq genome assembly
GGUGCUGUGGCCAAGUGGAUAAGGCAGAAGUUUGCAAAACUUUGAUCGUUGGUUCGAUUCCGACCAGCACCU